Molecule: ribosomal RNA, 429 nt
Filed under: Pseudomonadota bacterium
Lineage: Bacteria; Pseudomonadati; Pseudomonadota
Description: Proteobacteria bacterium partial 16S ribosomal RNA
Rfam family: Bacterial small subunit ribosomal RNA
Source: RNAcentral
UGGGGAAUAUUGGACAAUGGGCGAAAGCCUGAUCCAGCCAUGCCGCGUGUGUGAAGAAGGUCUUCGGAUUGUAAAGCACUUUAAGUUGGGAGGAAGGGCAGUAAGCGAAUACCUUGCUGUUUUGACGUUACCGACAGAAUAAGCACCGGCUAACUCUGUGCCAGCAGCCGCGGUAAUACAGAGGGUGCAAGCGUUAAUCGGAAUUACUGGGCGUAAAGCGCGCGUAGGUGGUUCGUUAAGUUGAAUGUGAAAGCCCCGGGCUCAACCUGGGAACUGCAUCCAAAACUGGCGAGCUAGAGUAGGGCAGAGGGUGGUGGAAUUUCCUGUGUAGCGGUGAAAUGCGUAGAUAUAGGACGGAACACCAGUGGCGAAGGCGACCACCUGGGCUCAUACUGACACUGAGGUGCGAAAGAGUGGGGAGCAAACAGG